This 72-nucleotide transfer RNA is filed under the name Promethearchaeota archaeon. Its description in RNAcentral is "Candidatus Lokiarchaeota archaeon tRNA-Thr". It matches the Rfam family "tRNA". From Rfam's summary of the family: Transfer RNA (tRNA) molecules are approximately 80 nucleotides in length. The record is from RNAcentral. Lineage: Archaea; Promethearchaeati; Promethearchaeota.
GCCUCUGUAGCUCAGCGGUAGAGCGUUUGACUUGUAAUCAAAUGGCCGGGAGUUCAAAUCUCCCCAGGGGCU